UAGAGUUUGAUCCUGGCUCAGAGCGAACGCUGGCGGCAGGCCUAACACAUGCAAGUCGAACGAACUCUUCGGAGUUAGUGGCGGACGGGCGAGUAACACGUGGGAACGUGCCUUUAGGUUCGGAAUAACUCAGGGAAACUUGUGCUAAUACCGAAUGUGCCCUUCGGGGGAAAGAUUUAUCGCCUUUAGAGCGGCCCGCGUCUGAUUAGCUAGUUGGUGAGGUAAAGGCUCACCAAGGCGACGAUCAGUAGCUGGUCUGAGAGGAUGAUCAGCCACAUUGGGACUGAGACACGGCCCAAACUCCUACGGGAGGCAGCAGUGGGGAAUCUUGCGCAAUGGGCGAAAGCCUGACGCAGCCAUGCCGCGUGAAUGAUGAAGGUCUUAGGAUUGUAAAAUUCUUUCACCGGGGACGAUAAUGACGGUACCCGGAGAAGAAGCCCCGGCUAACUUCGUGCCAGCCGCCGCGGUAAUACA
RNAcentral lists this ribosomal RNA (474 nucleotides) under uncultured bacterium. RNAcentral's name for it is "bacterial SSU rRNA". It matches the Rfam family "Bacterial small subunit ribosomal RNA", at positions 1 to 527 of the family's 1533-position model. The record is from RNAcentral.